This is a long non-coding RNA of Oncorhynchus nerka (sockeye salmon), 1038 nucleotides long. RefSeq lists it as uncharacterized. Lineage: Eukaryota; Metazoa; Chordata; Actinopteri; Salmoniformes; Salmonidae. The record is from RefSeq and is a predicted model, not a curated record. The transcript has 2 exons.
UCCCCCUCCAGCCUGCAUUUUAAGCUGUUCCCGUGUCAUUUACACUGCCACACAACCAGUAAUGAUGUCAGGAAACUGCAAGUUUCCAGGUUAACUGCUGACUGAAGUUGACUGAAGUUCAGUGAUGUCGUGCUAGAGAAGAUCUCCUGCUAGAAGGGACCCACAAUGACAGUGAUGUCGUGCUAGAGAAGAUCUCCUGCUAGAAGGGACCCAUAAUGACAGUGAUGUCGUGCUAGAGAAGAUCUCCUGCUAGAAGGGACCCACAAUGACAGUGAUGUCGUGCUAGAGAAGAUCUCCUGCUAGAAGGGACCCACAAUGACAGUGAUGUCGUGCUAGAGAAGAUCUCCUGCUAGAAGGGACCCACAAUGACAGUGAUGUCGUGCUAGAGAAGGAUCUCCUGCUAGAAGGGACCCACAAUGACAGUGAUGUCGAGAAGAUCUCCUGCUAGAAGGGACCCACAAUGACAGUGAUGUCGUGCUAGAGAAGGAUCUCCUGCUAGAAGGGACCCACAAUGACAGUGAUGUCGUGCUAGAGAAGGAUCUCCUGCUAGGAGGGACCCACAACGACAGUGAUGUCGUGCUAGAGAAGGAUCUCCUGCUAGAAGGGACCCACAAUGACAGUGAUGUAACAGACUUUUAGGGCACAGCCAGGCAGCAGUUUAUUUACCCUGGAGGAUCAUAUGUUUGACUGCACCAUGGAGAUGAACCUAUUGAAACAUUGAUGCCUGUGUUCCAUUGAGGUAUUCCACAAGCAUGGUUUAAGCCUCACCACCUGCCUAAGUUUAUUCUCUGUGGCCACACUUUUCACUUUAAGAACAACAAGAGAAAGGAACUAUCUCUUUCUGUGUUGGUAAGUGGAAGUGCUUCACAGCUACUUACCCAUAUUUUAUGGGGAAGGUGAAACAAACUGACUGUUCUGAGAAUAUCCUUCUCUGUAGGUCUCACAGUAUGCAUGGCUCUAGAUCGGAAAUGCACCAAAAUGUGAAUACCGGUACAAAUGUAAAUAUUAAAGCAUGUAAAUGCAGGUCACAGUGUUAUA